AACGAACGCUAGCGGGAUGCCUCAAACAUGCAAGUCGAACGAGAAAGCACCUUCGGGUGUAAGUACAGUGGCGCACGGGUGAGUAACACGUAGCUAACGUACCCCCUCGCUGGGGAUAACUCCGGGAAACCGGAGCUAAUACCGAAUGAUCUGCUACGGUCUGCGGACUGUAUCAGUAAAGCCUUCGGGCGCGAGGGGAUCGGGCUGCGUAACAUUAGCUUGAUGGUGGGGUAACGGCCUACCAUGGCGACGAUGUUUAGCUGGUCUGAGAGGAUGAUCAGCCACACUGGAACUGAAACACGGUCCAG
This 308-nucleotide ribosomal RNA is filed under the name uncultured bacterium. Its description in RNAcentral is "bacterial SSU rRNA". It matches the Rfam family "Bacterial small subunit ribosomal RNA", at positions 29 to 334 of the family's 1533-position model. The record is from RNAcentral.